Oncorhynchus tshawytscha (Chinook salmon) is the source of this 3232-nucleotide long non-coding RNA. Lineage: Eukaryota; Metazoa; Chordata; Actinopteri; Salmoniformes; Salmonidae. The record is from Ensembl.
GCUACUCUGUCCUGGAUUCCCCACUCUACACUCCCUUAGAUUCCCCUCCGGAUCUGCUUACCCUGUCCCCACACCUCUCGCUACCGCCUCAGCCUCCGCACCUGGUUUCCAGCAACCCGCCCGAGCUUCCCCUGGCCUGCACUCAAUCUUCCCCCCGUGUUUCAAUAAAUACCUUGGUUACCUCAACCCAGUCUCCUCGUCUGAGUCUGCUCUUGGGUUCACCUGUUCCGCUCCGCGCGACAGUACGAUCUGGCUAAAGACAUGAACCCAGCAGACAGAUCCACUCCACCAAACCCUCGCCGGUCAAGACUCCCUGCUCGAGCAACAUGACCAAGACCUGAAAACCCUUCUGGAGCAUAUCAAGGAGUUUUCACAGAGCCUGUCUGACCUACAGGGCCGACCCUUUGCCCAGAGCUCACAACCAGCCCCUAGUUCGCCUCCUCUGCUCUGUGAGCCAUUCCUUCCGGCCCCCGAGCGUUACGACGGCAACCUCUGAGCUUGCAGAGCCUUUUUGUUACAAUGUUCGCUGGUAUACGAGCAACAGCCCUACGCUUAUAACUAGCAAACGGGCCAAGAUUCCUUCGUGAUUGGCAGCCUCUGUGGAGCAGCGCUUUCUUGGGCCAUGGCUGUGGGGGAUAUACUGUUGAGUCAAGCGCCGGUCCAUCUUCCUCCACACCCUUGCUAGACGGCACUCUUGUAUGGCAAAGCCAGGAUUUUUCUCUACCUGCCCUCAUCGACUUGGGUGCCGACGAGAGUUUCCUGGACCGAGGUGUUGUUACCCAGUUGGGUCUGGACACUGUUCCACUCGAUUCACCCAUCGAUGCCAACGCUCUCAAUGGACAGCUCCUCGCUCAUGUCAGUGAGAGAACCGUGCCGGUCAUCCUGCGUCUCUCUGGGAAUCACCAGGAAAGGAUCAGUCUCCACAUAAUCGACUGCCCUAGAUCUCCCCUGGUUCUUGGCCAUCCUUGGUUCAAUCUGCACAACCCACAGAUUGACUAGCCCUCUGGAAAGGUCACCACUUGGAGUACAUUUUGUCACUCUAAUUGUCUACAUUCUGCCCUUCCCCAUGCCUUGUCUGUGCCCCAGUCCAUUCCAGAACCUCCGGACCUGUCAUCAGUUCCUCCAGAGUAUCACGAUCUAGCUCUUGUGUUCAGCAAGCACCACACCCUGGCUCUCUGCCGCCUCAUCGGCCGUAUGACUGCGCUAUUGACCUCUAGCCUGAAGCUCCUCUCCCCUGUAGCCGGUUGUUUAACCUCUCUCGACCCGAGCAGGAGACUAUGGAGGAGUGCAUCCAUGAUUCCCUGGCUGCAGAACAUUUCUGGCCUACUUUCUCUCUGGGAGGGGCUGGUUUUUUCUUUGUCAAAAAAAAGAUGGGUCACUGAGCCGUCCAUAGACUUCCGUUGGCUGAAUAGUAUCACUGUUAGUUACAAGUACCCCUUGCCACUCAUCAGUUCUGCUUUUGCCCCCCUCCAUAGUGCCACGGUGUUCACUAAACUGGACCUCCGGAAUGCCUACCACCUUGUCUGUGUCAGAGAGGGGGAUGAGUAGAAAAUGGCAUUGAACACACCACUUGGACACUGAGUAUUUGGCCAUGCCGUUUGGUCUCACUAAUGCUCCUGCUGUUUUGCAGAGCCUGGUUAAUGACAUUCUGAGGGAUGUGAUUAGACAAUUUUUUGUCUAUGUGUUACAUCAUUUCACAAGGACAGUUACGGACGGACCCUGCCAAUGCCAGGGCAGUCGCCUGUGCCCUCGAAUCUGAAGCAGGUACAGCGUUUCGCCAAUUUUUACAGACGUUUCAUCCACGACUACAGCCAUUUGGCUGCCCCUCUCACCUCCACCUCCGUUCCACUGGUCCCCUGAGGCAGUGGCAGCCUUCCCGGGGACUGAAGAGGCGCUUCACUUCCGCUCUGAUCCUCACCUAGCCAGACCCAGAACUCCAGUUCGUCGUCGAUGUGGACGCCUUUGACACCGGGGUAACCGGGAACUCCUGGCUGUGAAGCUGGCUCUUGAAGCGUGGGGUCACUUUUUCGGAGGGCUCGGUUCUCCCCUUCAUUCAUGUGGAAGGACCAUCCUACAUCCAGACGUCUGAACUCCUGGCAGACCAGUUCACCGCCGACAACACAGGUUCCGACACAGAGACCAUUAUGCCAUCCACCUGCAUCGUUGCCCGCUGUCACCUGGGAGAUCGAGUCCUUUUUCGCCAGGCUCAGCAGAACAAGCCUAACCCAGAUGUUCGUGGUGGGGGCUCAGAGCAGUGUGAAUAACUACUACUGACGUAACUCACAAAACAGAUGGACGUGACAUAUGAAGAGUGCUGAAUGUAUUUCUAUCCUAAUUUACAAUUACAUGUGGAAUUGUUGUAUUCAUUUGAUGGGUAUAGACUGUAAGUCAUGUCCCUUUGAUGCACGCUCAUAAGAUCUCAAAUGCUGAAAUAUCUUUUCAUUGGUUGUAAACGUUUUUGCCACAUUUUUGUUGUUGUUGCUGUCUUUAAUUUAGAGAUGAAUUCUGAUGGACCUUUAUAAAAUGGCACUAUAGUUGGUAAAGUUAAGUCAUAAGCUAUCUAAGCAGGAUGAUACAUAAAAUAGGCUACCUCUUAAUGAAUAACCCCUGUUUGAGUAAUAUCCUAUCACCUGAAGAGAUAUAUUAAUAAUGUAAGAAUAUUCUGUCAAUUUGCUACUAUGCCAAAUAGGCUACGUUACAAAAGUGAGAUAAACGUCUGAAACGCCAGUUCAUCCAAGCCAUUACGUAGGCGCUACCUAUCACGUAUAUAUCGAAUGAUCUUCACUUCUGUCAAAGAAUGCAAAUGGUUGAAUGAUGACUUGUCAAAAGUCAAUCGUUUUUUCCUACUGUGCACAUUUUGCUGAGCACAUUGCAUUGGUAAAAUGUUCUAAGGCAUUUGUGGUUUGUUCAUAUUUCAUGUUUAGUUUACAUGUCGGUGCAGGCAUACAGCUAAUAGACUAUGGCGACAGCGGGGUGUCUUCCAGGCAAGAAUAUCCCAGGAUACACUGUUGUGAGACGCUCUGUCUGGAUUGCAGGCUGACGCACUGUACAUCAAAAUGCCCAACAACAAGUCUACAUUUUUCCACAGUCGUGACAUCGCGCAAAGGAGACGCAUAUUCUCUCAAUAAUCAUGUUCGAGAUGUCAUUGUGGCUCACAAAUGUACAGUGCAACGGAAUAAAAUGUUAGAAAUUCACUGACUGUCUCUCUGUUUAUGUAAUCACACAUCUCCCC